This 300-nucleotide long non-coding RNA is filed under the name Elaeis guineensis (African oil palm). Its description in RNAcentral is "long non-coding RNA (EGUI_LNC012630)". Lineage: Eukaryota; Viridiplantae; Streptophyta; Magnoliopsida; Arecales; Arecaceae. The record is from RNAcentral.
CAUACAUUCUUCCAUCUCCUCACAUUCCUUCUCAUCUACUUCUCCUCAUCCUCCUUGUCCAAGCUGUCUAUAAACUAUCUCCCUUCACGAUAGCUCCUCCAGCUCCAUCCCUUCUUGCCUUUUCCCUCUUCUCCUCCUUGUCCUCCUCUAACUCAUUCUUUAUCGGCAGCCCCUCUCCCCUCCUCCCCUUCCUCCCUCCUCAUCCUCUUCCUCUUCCAAACCCACCUAUCCAUCCACCUCCUUCCCUUUCUCCUCAUUCAUUUUUUUUCCUCAUCCUCCUCUACAUCCAAGCUGCCCAUA